Long non-coding RNA from Drosophila busckii, 74 nucleotides. It matches the Rfam family "Yellow-achaete intergenic RNA conserved region 2". NCBI's taxonomy places the organism in Eukaryota, Metazoa, Arthropoda, Insecta, Diptera, Drosophilidae. The record is from Rfam.
CCAGUCAAUGUCAAAGUGUUGCCUCGCUGCCUUACUACAAAGUUAAUUGCGCUGCACGCGCACGCCAAAAGCCC